Long non-coding RNA from Ostrinia furnacalis (Asian corn borer), 968 nucleotides. RefSeq lists it as uncharacterized. The transcript is spliced from 3 exons. NCBI's taxonomy places the organism in Eukaryota, Metazoa, Arthropoda, Insecta, Lepidoptera, Crambidae. The record is from RefSeq and is a predicted model, not a curated record.
UUUUCAUCGAAAAAACGUGUUUUUCUUUAAACAAAUUUUAUCUAAUUAAAAUCAUUAAUUUCUCAAUCAUUAUUAAUAAGAAUUACAUGUGCAUGGAUUGCCUGUUGGAUUGAUGUUUGUUCAAGAAGAAAUUUCUCUCAAGUAAGAUAUCCACUCGAGAAAGGUUAUUGCAGCUUGCAGCAAUGUUUUAUCAAGUAUUGAACCACACUAAGGAUUAAUUCUUCAUUACAAUAUCAUUCAUAACUCCAUUUAAAUCAAUGAAAACUAAAUAUGGAUCGUUUUAUGGAGUAACAACAUACUUUGGAGUUUGGACCCAAAAUACAAUACACGUAGGUACAUUGCAGGCAUAGAUUGCAGGACACAGUGAAUGAUACGUGUUUUAUACAGUGAAUCUAAGUACCUAUUUGUUUCAGAUUAAUAUCGAACUUCGAACUUAUAAGGUGUUAAGCUGUAAUUACAAUAAAAGUGCUUGCUAUGGAAUCACCGGUGCUGCUCAUUAUUGUCAACUGUUACUUAAAAUCCAGAUGAACCAACCUUUACUUCCUAUUCAAAUAAGUUUAGAAGAAACCUUUAUAAGCAAUAAAACCAGACCAAGAAUGCUUGAUCACAAACGAUGAACUCAUUUCAUUUGCAGGUUAUGCCAUGACAUAAAUGCAUUAAAUUAGGAAGAUCUGUAUUGGAUGAAUUACCCAGAUAACUAUUAAAACAACUUCUGUUGAUAAGAACAUUUGAUUGGUGGAAUCCAGAUUCUGUGAAUGUACAUGUAAUUGAUUGACAAGUACACAUUUGACAAGGUGGUGAGAAACGUGUAGAUCUGGCCUGCUUACAGUGGCUAUUGGAUUGGACAGAACCAAAGUGAGAGUAAACGUGUGAAUUUAUGGAGAACAUUAAACUAUUUUACUAUAAGUCAUAACGCAACUUAUUUUGUAUGAGUUACAUACAAAUGUCAAGCCGUGAGUAAAAACUGA